CAUUUGUCACCCCCUACGCUACCCAGUCAUCAUGAAUCCCCAUCUCUGUGUCUUCUUAGUUUUGGUGUCUUUUAUUCUUAGCCUGUUGAACUCCCAGCUGCACAAUCAGAUUGUGUUACAAUUCACCUGCUUCAAGAAUGUGGAAAUCUUUAAUUUUUUCUGUGAGCCAUCUCAACUUCUCAACCUUGCCUGUUCUGACAGUGUCAUCAAUAACAUAUUCAUGUAUUUAGAUAGUGUUAUAUUUGGUUUUCUUCCCAUCUCAGGGAUCCUUUUGUCUUACUAUAAAAUUGUCUCCUCCAUUCUAAGAAUUCCAUCAUCAGAUGGGAAGUAUAAAGCCUUCUCCACAUGUGGCUCUCACCUGGCAGUUGUUUGCUUAUUUUAUGGAACAGGACUUGGAGCCUACCUCAGUUCAGCUGCGUCCUCUUUCCCCAGGAAGGGUGCGGUCACCUCAGUGAUGUACACUGUGGUCAUC
RNAcentral lists this long non-coding RNA (472 nucleotides) under Homo sapiens (human). RNAcentral's name for it is "non-protein coding lnc-ZNF699-2:3". Lineage: Eukaryota; Metazoa; Chordata; Mammalia; Primates; Hominidae. The record is from RNAcentral.